Long non-coding RNA from Oncorhynchus gorbuscha (pink salmon), 2509 nucleotides. RefSeq lists it as uncharacterized. NCBI's taxonomy places the organism in Eukaryota, Metazoa, Chordata, Actinopteri, Salmoniformes, Salmonidae. The record is from RefSeq and is a predicted model, not a curated record. The transcript is spliced from 2 exons.
ACCCUACCUGCUAUCACCACCCUACCUGCUAUCACCACCUUACUCCCACCAACCCUACCUGCUAUCACCACCUUACUCCCCCCAACCCUACCUGCUAUCACCACCUUACUCCCACCAACCCUACCUGCUAUCACCACCUUACUCCCACCCAACCCUACCUGCUAUCACCACCUUACUCCCCCCAACCCUACCUGCUAUCACCACCUUACUCCCACCCAACCCUACCUGCUAUCACCACCCUUACUCCCCCCAACCCUACCUGCUAUCACCACCUUACUCCCCCCAACCCUACCUGCUAUCACCACCUUACCCCCACCCAACCCUACCUGCUAUCACCACCUUACCUGCUAUCACCACCUUACUCCCCUCAACCCUACCUGCUAUCACCACCUUACCUGCUAUCACCACCUUACCCCCACCCAACCCUACCUGCUAUCACCUUACUCCCCCAACCCUACCUGCUAUCACCACCUUACCCCCACCCAACCCUACCUGCUAUCACCACCUUACCCCCACCCAACCCUACCUGCUAUCACCACCUUACUCCCACCCAACCCUACCUGCUAUCACCACCUUACCCCCACCCAACCCUACCUGCUAUCACCUUACUCCCCCAACCCUACCUGCUAUCACCACCUUACUCCCACCCAACCCUACCUGCUAUCACCACCUUACCCCUACCCAACCCUACCUGCUAUCACCUUACUCCCCCAACCCUACCUGCUAUCACCACCUUACUCCCACCCAACCCUACCUGCUAUCACCACCUUACCCCCAUCCUGACCUGAUGGUCUCUGUCCGAGGGAGGGGUUAUAUCCUGAUCCAUUCUGGUUACAAUGUCAGCUGAUGUUCAUUACGUCUCAACAUGUUAUGGUUCAGGUUAUGAGGCAUGUCCAGGUGUAAACAAGAUGCUGGCUGGAAGGCAGCUGUUUUCCACUUGGAGAGACAGGGGAGCAUGAUGAGAUGACCUCUGUAGGUGUUGAGAGAGGGGAACAUGGUGAGGUGACCUCUAGGUGUUGAGAGAGGGGAACAUGGUGAGGUGACCUCUGUAGGUGUUGAGAGAGGGGAACAUGGUGAGGUGACCUCUGUAGGUGUUGAGAGAGGGGAACAUGGUGAGGUGACCUCUGUAGGUGUUGAGAGAGGGGAACAUGGUGAGGUGACCUCUGUAUGUGUUGAGAGAGGGGAACAUGGUGAGGUGACCUCUGUAGGUGUUGAGAGAGGGGAAUAUGGUGAGAUGACCUCUGUAGUUGUUGAGAGAGGGGAACAUGGUGAGGUGACCUCUAGGUGUUGAGAGCUUCUUCAUUAGGAGCCAGCUGACACUGGCCCUGGGUGUGUCCCAAAUGUCACCCUAUUCCCCAAAUCGUGCACUGUUUUUGACUAAAGCCCUGGUCAAAGUAGUGCACUAUAUAGGGAAUAGGGUGCCAAUCAGGAUGUCUCUCUUUGUCACGGUCACUAUUCCUCCCUUGUUCUUUAGGAAGUGCUGUGGGUGUGGGGUUGUGUGUACACAGAGGGAGACUGGACUGUUUGGUGAUAAAACAUCCUCAGAGACAACAAACACAGUCAGACGCAGGUUUAUUUCUCUAAACCCUUCCAGAUCUAAAUAACACACACAAGCUAAAACACGGCUCGCUCACACAUGUACACUUUUGUGUUAUUCUUAAACCCUGGACCUGUUACACACACACACAACCCGUCCUGAUCAAUAACUCUGUCCAGGUCUCUUCCUCAUGCCUUGCACUAAUGAUUCUCAUGAAUAUAUCUUGUCAUAAUUACAGCCAGUGUGAUAUAUAUAUAUAUAUAAUAUACUGUACAUAGGGUAUUGCAAUGUAUUCUACUUUUUCCAUUUACAGUUGACAGGACUAAUGCUUGCUAGGGAGUUGUCUAGAUAAUCAUUAAACUGUACAGUUAGCAGAAAACAGCUUCAGUGUGGGUUUGGAGUUGUUUUUUUCCCCCCACAAAAAUGUUUAAAUUAUAAUCGAUGGUGGUCUUUAUAAAUGUAAGUGUUAUUAACAAACAAAAAUAUCUUGCAUUUCUUUAGUGGUCUGACUUAUACUUUAUUUCUCAAGAAAAGCUAAAUGAUUAUUUUUUUUGGUUUCUAUUUUUUAACAUUCUCUCUCUCAUUUCACUCAUUUGUGAGUGAUCUAAAGUUAGGAUGCCCUGUCAAGUACUCCUCAUCCCACUAGAACUGAAGUCACACACAAUACACUGUCUGGCUGUUGAAUCCCUGUUGGAGCAAAGCGGAAAGGAUUUGAAAAACAUUUACUUUCCGCUUGUCUUAUAACGUCUCAGUAGGAAUGUAACGACGUUGUGGGAACAAUGUUAACAACCUUAGUAGGAGAAGAAAGACGGCUCUGUUCUACUGUUGGGGUAUUAGCUGGUGGAUCAUGAUGAUGAAUAAAUGGAUUAACUCAUAGGGAUGUACAUUGUAUACAUUUUUGUUGUUGUGGCCACUUAAUUGCAGCCGGAAAAAAUAAAAUAAAUGCAAGCAUUUUACAGUACUGUUAAAUAA